AUUGAACGCUGGCGGAAUGCUUUACACAUGCAAGUCGAACGGUAGAGGGGGCAACCCCUCGAGAGUGGCGAACGGGUGAGUAAUAUAUCGGAACGUGCCCAGUCGUGGGGGAUAACGUAGCGAAAAUUACGCUAAUACCGCAUACGAUCUAUGGAUGAAAGCGGGGGAUCGCAAGACCUCGCGUGAUUGGAGCGGCCGAUAUCAGAUUAGGUAGUUGGUGGGGUAAAGGCCCACCAAGCCAACGAUCUGUAGCUGGUCUGAGAGGACGACCAGCCACACUGGAACUGAGACACGGUCCAGACUCCUACGGGAGGCAGCAGUGGGGAAUUUUGGACAAUGGGCGAAAGCCUGAUCCAGCCAUUCCGCGUGCAGGAUGAAGGCCCUCGGGUUGUAAACUGCUUUUGUACAGAACGAAAAGGUUUCUACUAAUACUAGGAGCUCAUGACGGUACUGUAAGAAUAAGCACCGGCUAACUACGUGCCAGCAGCCGCGGUAA
This 496-nucleotide ribosomal RNA is filed under the name uncultured bacterium. RNAcentral describes it as "partial 16S ribosomal RNA". It matches the Rfam family "Bacterial small subunit ribosomal RNA", at positions 30 to 523 of the family's 1533-position model. The record is from RNAcentral.